AGUGAACGCUGGCGGUAGGCCUAACACAUGCAAGUCGAACGGCAGCACAGUAAAAGCUUGCUCUUACGGGUGGCGAGUGGCGGACGGGUGAGGAAUACAUCGGAAUCUACUUUUUCGUGGGGGAUAACGUAGGGAAACUUACGCUAAUACCGCAUACGACCUACGGGUGAAAGCAGGGGAUCAUCGGACCUUGCGCGAUUGAAUGACCCGAUGUCGGAUUAGCUAGUUGGCGGGGUAAAGGCCCACCAAGGCGACGAUCCGUAGCUGGUCUGAGAGGAUGAUCAGCCACACUGGAACUGAGACACGGUCCAGACUCCUACGGGAGGCAGCAGUGGGGAAUAUUGGACAAUGGGCGCAAGCCUGAUCCAGCCAUACCGCGUGGGUGAAGAAGGCCUUCGGGUUGUAAAGCCCUUUUGUUGGGAAAGAAAAGCAGCAGGUUAAUACCCCGCUGUUCUGACGGUACCCAAAGAAUAAGCACCGGCUAACUUCGUG
Molecule: ribosomal RNA, 492 nt
Filed under: uncultured bacterium
Lineage: Bacteria
Description: partial 16S ribosomal RNA
Rfam family: Bacterial small subunit ribosomal RNA
Source: RNAcentral